CAGCAGCCACGGGAACACGAAGGGUGCAAGCGUUAAUCGGAAUUACUGGGCGUAAAGCGUGCGUAGGCGGUUUGUUAAGUCUGUUGUGAAAUCCCCGGGCUCAACCUGGGAAUGGCAAUGGAUACUGGCAAGCUAGAGUGUGUCAGAGGAUGGUGGAAUUCCCGGUGUAGCGGUGAAAUGCGUAGAGAUCGGGAGGAACAUCAGUGGCGAAGGCGGCCAUCUGGGACAACACUGACGCUGAGGCACGAAAGCGUGGGGAGCAAACAGGAUUAGAUACCCCAGUAGUCCCUGUCUCUUAUAC
Molecule: ribosomal RNA, 301 nt
Filed under: uncultured bacterium
Lineage: Bacteria
Description: partial 16S ribosomal RNA
Rfam family: Bacterial small subunit ribosomal RNA
Source: RNAcentral